AUCCCAGAUAAUGUUGCCUUUGUGAUUAUCUGAUUCAUGGGAGGCAAAUACCUAAUGGGAGUUCGCUGAUAACACUUCUGGUCUUUGUUAGUGUUUUACUAGCUAGUACCUCACCGUACAUGU
This is a non-coding RNA of Populus trichocarpa (black cottonwood), 123 nucleotides long. Lineage: Eukaryota; Viridiplantae; Streptophyta; Magnoliopsida; Malpighiales; Salicaceae. The record is from Rfam.